GGCCCCUUCCCAAUCAGGAAACUUGGGUGAUGAGGGGCAGCGAAGGGGUGGGGUGGGAUCUUGGUCCAGCUGGUACUGGAGCGGCGACAAUUUUGGCUAGUCUAAGAAGGGCAUUCGAGUGACCGUUGACAACGGGUGGGACAGCGUCAGAGCUGGAGGGAGAGCCAGCACUGUAUGCUUCCAGGACUUCUUGCUAGGUGCAUUAGUUUUUAUUUUUAAGAGUUGGGUAAAAGACAUUAAUUAGUUAGCAUCUCACUCAUCGGCGAUUUUCUACGGUAUGAUUUCAUCCAAAGAGGAUUUCUUAAUCGCACUGUGUGACACCGUUAGGGGACUUAGAGUGUCACUCGCCGCCUUAAAUCCUUUCGGGAACAAGCCAGGAUAUAAAUAAAUAAAGCUAGGUGUGGGUCUUCCCUUCACAAGGCGCUGGUAGGCAGACUAAAGACAGGCAACAGCUGAGUGUGCACACAGAACUAAAUAUUGAACGAAAUACGAGUGUCGGAAUAAAAUUCAUUGCCAUGUGCACGGCUUAUGAUUAUACAGAUCUUGGACAUAUCACGGACCUGAACGUCAACCCUGCAACACCGGAUAAAACAUCUAAUGUAGCUGGAAUAGACUCUGAAAGGACGUUAGGCAUUAUCUAAAUCAAGUCCCUCAUUUUACAGAUGAGUAAACUGACUCAGUGAAGUAUUUUGCUCAAGGUCGUUCAUCAAAUUAGUAGUUUAAUUAACUCAGUGUUCUAGGAAGCAGGGUAGUAGAAAAGCAUGGGAUUCGGAGUCUGAAAUCUUCCUUGGUUUCUGGUCCUUGUAGGCUGUUUUACAAGUGUAUCUUGGGCAAAUCCCUUAACGUCUUGCCAUUUAUUAAGGGCUUACUUACCACGUGGCAAACAAUCCACUUUGCAUGCUGUGUCAAUUACAUGCAGUAUGUCGUGUAGUUAUUACUGUCCCCAUUUUAUGAGGUAGUUUAGGUUUAAAGAUAUUAGAAAUUUACCCAAAGUUACGCAGUUAUAAACAUUGUAGUAAUUUCAAACUCAGGUCUUCGUGACUGCAAAGGCUGCUGUCUUAAGUAUUGUAAUACAUUAGAGCUCCGGAUUCCCUCCCACUCAAAACAGAGACUGAGACUCCAACCAAUUUCCACCAUUAUUGGGAGUCAAACGAGAGAGACUGUGGCAAUGUAUUCUAAGCUGUACAAAGGUAUAAACAUAUUCACUAGAUUUGUAGAAUGAAGUUAUUCCUUCCCUAUACUUUCCACUACAACAAUUCAGCCAAAAAGAUGGCUUUCAUACUAAGCAUAAGAAGGAACUUCACUGUAAUUAUGAUAUUCUAACCAAGAAUAUAUGCAUAUCUAGGCAAUAACCAAAGUGAAUAGAAUAAAAUUUAAUUCCUGAUAGAUUAAAUAGGCAAUAGCAAGGAAUGCUAACGCUCCUCAUAGCGUUCUUGUUGGAAGAAUCAUCUAGGAGGCAUUGGGAUUUCUGGUGCUUUUUAAGCAAUGAGAGAUAUCAGUCCACUGAAUGAGGAAGAGAAUAACGUUUAGUUUCGGACUAAAAGUUCAUCUGGACUACGGAAAACACGUUUGCCUCAAUCAGUGAAGAAGGUAUGCUGAGAGCUGAAAGAAAAGGAAAGCAGCAACAGUGAGAGCUCAGAAAUUCCCAGACUGUUUUGAUGAUAAGGUCCAAGAACUUGCCAUGUGAUCCAUCACUACUAGACUCCCACAACUGCAUUAGAUUUGUUCAGGAUUUUCAUAUAAUUUUCAUAACUGGCUAAGGAACUGAAUCUUCAGUCACCUUGAUUUUGGACUUCCCAG
Homo sapiens (human) is the source of this 1800-nucleotide long non-coding RNA. Ensembl annotates it as NOVA1 divergent transcript. Its record names the gene NOVA1-DT. Lineage: Eukaryota; Metazoa; Chordata; Mammalia; Primates; Hominidae. The record is from Ensembl.